GUCGAGCGGAAAGGCCCUUUCGGGGGUACUCGAGCGGCGAACGGGUGAGUAACACGUGAGUAAUCUGCCCUGCGCUCUGGGAUAGCCACCGGAAACGGUGAUUAAUACCGGAUAGGACCACUUCACGCAUGUGAUGGUGGUGGAAAGUUUUUUCGGCGCAGGAUGUGCUCGCGGCCUAUCAGCUUGUUGGUGAGGUAACGGCUCACCAAGGCUUUGACGGGUAACCGGCCUGAGAGGGUGACCGGUCACACUGGGACUGAGACACGGCCCAGACUCCUACGGGAGGCAGCAGUGGGGAAUAUUGGACAAUGGGCGGAAGCCUGAUCCAGCAACGCCGCGUGAGGGAUGACGGCCUUCGGGUUGUAAACCUCUUUCAGUACCGACGAAGCGAAAGUGACGGUAGGUACAGAAGAAGGACCGGCCAACUACGUGCCAGCAGCCGCGGUAAUACGUAGGGUCCGAGCGUUGUCCGGAAUUAUUGGGCGUAAAGGGCUCGUAGGCGGUUUGUCGCGUCGGGAGUGAAAACACCGGGCUUAACUCGGUGCUUGCUUUCGAUACGGGCAGACUAGAGGUAUGCAGGGGAGAAUGGAAUUCCUGGUGUAGCGGUGAAAUGCGCAGAUAUCAGGAGGAACACCGGUGGCGAAGGCGGUUCUCUGGGCAUUACCUGACGCUGAGGAGCGAAAGUGUGGGGAGCGAACAGGAUUAGAUACCCUGGUAGUCCACACCGUAAACGUUGGGCGCUAGGUGUGGGGCCUAUUCCAUGGGUUCCGUGCCGUAGCU
This 780-nucleotide ribosomal RNA is filed under the name uncultured Nocardioides sp. RNAcentral describes it as "bacterial SSU rRNA". It matches the Rfam family "Bacterial small subunit ribosomal RNA", at positions 61 to 853 of the family's 1533-position model. The record is from RNAcentral. Lineage: Bacteria; Bacillati; Actinomycetota; Actinomycetes; Propionibacteriales; Nocardioidaceae.